GGGUACCAGGACAAGCUGACGAGCACGCCGCGUGAGUGAUGAAGGCUUUCGGAUCGUAAAACUCUGUUGUUAGGGAAGAACAAGUGCUAGUUGAAUAAGCUGGCACCUUGACGGUACCUAACCAGAAAGCCACGGCUAACUACGUGCCAGCAGCCGCGGUAAUACG
RNAcentral lists this ribosomal RNA (166 nucleotides) under uncultured Bacillus sp. Its description in RNAcentral is "partial 16S ribosomal RNA". It matches the Rfam family "Bacterial small subunit ribosomal RNA", at positions 366 to 527 of the family's 1533-position model. Lineage: Bacteria; Bacillati; Bacillota; Bacilli; Caryophanales; Bacillaceae. The record is from RNAcentral.